RNAcentral lists this ribosomal RNA (253 nucleotides) under uncultured bacterium. Its description in RNAcentral is "partial 16S ribosomal RNA". It matches the Rfam family "Bacterial small subunit ribosomal RNA", at positions 524 to 776 of the family's 1533-position model. The record is from RNAcentral.
UACGUAGGGGGCAAGCGAUACUCGGAAUCACUGGGCGUAAAGCGCAGGUAGGCGGUUUAGUAAGUCUGUUGUGAAAGCUCCCGGCUUAACUGGGAGAGGUCAACGGAAACUGCUAGGCUAGAGUGCGGUAGAGGUAGCUGGAAUUCCCGGUGUAGCGGUGAAAUGCGUAGAUAUCGGGAGGAAUACCUAUGGCGAAAGCAGGCUACUGGACCGUCACUGACUCUGAUCUGCGAAAGCUAGGGGAGCAAACAGG